RNAcentral lists this ribosomal RNA (304 nucleotides) under uncultured bacterium. RNAcentral's name for it is "partial 16S ribosomal RNA". It matches the Rfam family "Bacterial small subunit ribosomal RNA", at positions 509 to 807 of the family's 1533-position model. The record is from RNAcentral.
CAGCAGUCGCCGCGGUAAUACAGAGGGUGCGAGCGUUAAUCGGAUUUACUGGGCGUAAAGGGCGCGUAGGCGGUUUAGUGAGUGUGAUGUGAAAGCCCCGGGCUUAACCUGGGAAGUGCAUCGCAAACGACUAAACUGGAGUAUAAGAGAGGGUGGCGGAAUUUCCGGUGUAGCGGUGAAAUGCGUAGAGAUCGGAAGGAACGUCAAUGGCGAAGGCAGCCACCUGGCUUAAUACUGACGCUGAGGCGCGAAAGCGUGGGGAGCGAACAGGAUUAGAUACCCCAGUAGUCCCUGUCUCUUAUAC